UGGGGAAUCUUGCGCAAUGGGCGAAAGCCUGACGCAGCGACGCCGCGUGGGUGAUGAAGGCCUUCGGGUUGUAAAGCCCUGUGGGGAGGAGCGAAUAAGUGCGGGUUAACAGCCCGUGUGAUGACGGUACCUCCUUAGCAAGCACCGGCUAACUCUGUGCCAGCAGCCGCGGUAAUACAGAGGGUGCAAACGUUGUUCGGAAUUACUGGGCGUAAAGCGCGUGUAGGCGGUCUUACAAGUCGGGUGUGAAACCCCUGGGCUCAACCCGGGAAGUGCAUUCGAUACUGUCGGACUGGAGUCCCGGAGAGGAUGGUGGAACUCUCGGUGUAGAGGUGAAAUUCGUAGAUAUCGGGAAGAACAUCGGUGGCGAAGGCGGCCAUCUGGACGGUGACUGACGCUGAGACGCGAAAGCGUGGGGAGCAAACAGG
This 428-nucleotide ribosomal RNA is filed under the name uncultured bacterium. Its description in RNAcentral is "bacterial SSU rRNA". It matches the Rfam family "Bacterial small subunit ribosomal RNA", at positions 355 to 776 of the family's 1533-position model. The record is from RNAcentral.